Molecule: transfer RNA, 72 nt
Filed under: Camelus bactrianus (Bactrian camel)
Lineage: Eukaryota; Metazoa; Chordata; Mammalia; Artiodactyla; Camelidae
Also listed under: 2 other names
Rfam family: tRNA
About the family: Transfer RNA (tRNA) molecules are approximately 80 nucleotides in length.
Source: Rfam by way of RNAcentral
GAGGGUAGAGCUCAGUGGUAGAGUGCCUGCUUAGCAUGCAAGAGGUCCUGGGUUCAAUCCCCAGUACCUCCA